This 77-nucleotide transfer RNA is filed under the name Dehalococcoidia bacterium. Its description in RNAcentral is "tRNA-Lys". It matches the Rfam family "tRNA". From Rfam's summary of the family: Transfer RNA (tRNA) molecules are approximately 80 nucleotides in length. Their secondary structure includes four short double-helical elements and three loops (D, anti-codon, and T loops). Lineage: Bacteria; Bacillati; Chloroflexota; Dehalococcoidia. The record is from RNAcentral.
CCGGUCGUGGCGCAAUUCGGCAGCGCACCCGGUUCUUACCCGGGAGGUUGGGGGUUCGAUGCCCUCCGGCCGGACCA